GGCUCCAUAGUGUAGUGGUUAGCAUGUCUGCUUUACACACAGAAGGUCCUGGGUUCGCGCCCCAGGUGGAGCCA
Molecule: transfer RNA, 74 nt
Filed under: Pteropus alecto (black flying fox)
Lineage: Eukaryota; Metazoa; Chordata; Mammalia; Chiroptera; Pteropodidae
Rfam family: tRNA
About the family: Transfer RNA (tRNA) molecules are approximately 80 nucleotides in length. Their secondary structure includes four short double-helical elements and three loops (D, anti-codon, and T loops). Further hydrogen bonds mediate the characteristic L-shaped molecular structure. tRNAs have two regions of fundamental functional importance: the anti-codon, which is responsible for specific mRNA codon recognition, and the 3' end, to which the tRNAs corresponding amino acid is attached (by aminoacyl-tRNA synthetases). tRNAs cope with the degeneracy of the genetic code in two manners: having more than one tRNA (with a specific anti-codon) for a particular amino acid; and 'wobble' base-pairing, i.e. permitting non-standard base-pairing at the 3rd anti-codon position.
Source: Rfam by way of RNAcentral